GCCCUCGUAGUUCAAUGGAUAGAACUUCUCACUCCUAAGGAGAAAAUGGAAGUUCGAUUCUUCCCGAGGGCACCA
Molecule: transfer RNA, 75 nt
Filed under: Candidatus Nealsonbacteria bacterium CG08_land_8_20_14_0_20_36_22
Lineage: Bacteria; Candidatus Nealsoniibacteriota
Also listed under: 1 other name
Description: tRNA-Arg
Rfam family: tRNA
About the family: Transfer RNA (tRNA) molecules are approximately 80 nucleotides in length. Their secondary structure includes four short double-helical elements and three loops (D, anti-codon, and T loops). Further hydrogen bonds mediate the characteristic L-shaped molecular structure. tRNAs have two regions of fundamental functional importance: the anti-codon, which is responsible for specific mRNA codon recognition, and the 3' end, to which the tRNAs corresponding amino acid is attached (by aminoacyl-tRNA synthetases). tRNAs cope with the degeneracy of the genetic code in two manners: having more than one tRNA (with a specific anti-codon) for a particular amino acid; and 'wobble' base-pairing, i.e. permitting non-standard base-pairing at the 3rd anti-codon position.
Source: RNAcentral